UACGGGAGGCAGCAGUGGGGAAUAUUGCACAAUGGGCGAAAGCCUGAUGCAGCUAUGCCGCGUGUAUGAAGAAGGCCUUAGGGUUGUAAAGUACUUUCAUCGGGGAGGAAAAACAAAACUAAUAAUUUUAUUUCUUGACGUUACCCGAAAAAGAAGCACCGGCUAACUCCGUGCCAGCAGCCGCGGUAAUACGGAGGGUGCUAGCGUUAAUCAGAAUUACUGGGCGUAAAGAGCACGUAGGUGGUUUUUUUAAGUCAGAUGUGAAAUCCCUGGGCUUAACCUAGGAAUUGCAUUUUGAAACUGAAAUACUAGAGUAUCGUAGAGGGAGGUAGAAUUCUAGGUGUAGCGGUGAAAUGCGUAGAUAUCUGGAGGAAUACCUGUGGCGAAAGCGGCCUCCUAAACGAAUACUGACACUGAGGUGCGAAAGCGUGGGGAGCAAACAGGGAUUAGAUACC
Molecule: ribosomal RNA, 455 nt
Filed under: uncultured bacterium
Lineage: Bacteria
Description: bacterial SSU rRNA
Rfam family: Bacterial small subunit ribosomal RNA
Source: RNAcentral